AUGAUGCUUGCGUCAUGGCUGAACGCGUGCUCUGGCUUGUUCCGGCCACUGUUCUCGUCUCCUCCCUCCUCGUCUCGACCUCCAUUCGUGUCCUGGAGCUCGCCCGUGCUCGACUGCAUCGCCCUGCGUUGCUGCUUCGUCGUGGUUCGCCAUCAAUGCGCCGCUAAGAGCAGUGCCCGUGCCAUGCCCAGCCUCUGACCUCCAUUAGAGCACUGCUCGAGCUCGCUAGCGAUGCUCCAGAGCCUCCCCCGGGCCUAUAUAUAGGACCCUCGACCCCUCCCGCAGCUCUUUCACUCCUCCCUCGCCUUUCUAAUCCACCGGAGCCCUCGGCCCCCUCUUCUUUUCGCCGGAGAUCGCCAUGGCCGCCUCGGUUCCUCCUCGGUUCCGGCGAACCUAGCCCCUCUCCUCUCCUCCAGAGCUGUCCACUAGUUUCCCCUCAUCCCCGCGGCCCGCACUAACCCUUUUCCACUCGCCGGAAAGCCCUCUGGCCGCGCCUCCCGGCGCUUGGCCGUCGCCGUUGCUCUCGGCCACCACCCCGACCGAGUCCAUCCGGAGCUCCUCCCCCUCUCCCGUCUCCACCACGGCACUCCCCAGACCUCCGCCAGCCUCCCCAUCUCCUCCGUUCGUCGCCAGAGUGCCCGCACCACCGGAGAACCCCGUCUCCCGAAGCUCCUGGCGCCUCCCGUCGCCGCGACCUCCCCUCCUCUCCAGUCCUCCCCGGCGCCGCCUUACCCUCUGAACGGGUGCGCCAUUGCCUCCCUCACCCGAUGGUGGCAUCGGCUCGGCCGGAGAUGGCCGGAGCCGGCCGGCCCCCUCGCCUGAGCUCCCCUGCCUGGCCUCGUUCCUCAUCUGUUCCUCGCGUGAGCGAACAGAGGGAGGAAGACGACGCCUUGCCAGCUGGCCAGGCGGGCCCCCCUCUCCAUCAGACCCCACCCAAAACGUAUUCGGUCCGAAGGCACGUUCAGUUUUUCCACCCAGGGGACUGUUUGCUGAAAAAGUUUCACCAAUAGGUCCCUGAUCUUCAACUCCUCACAACUUUUCAACCGUAACUCCAAAUGAGCCCCUCCGAGAGAGAACUGUUUCCGGCAAAUCUUUUCGCGGCUUCACCGCAUUUCUUCC
This is a long non-coding RNA of Aegilops tauschii subsp. strangulata, 1119 nucleotides long. RefSeq lists it as uncharacterized. Lineage: Eukaryota; Viridiplantae; Streptophyta; Magnoliopsida; Poales; Poaceae. The record is from RefSeq and is a predicted model, not a curated record.